Molecule: long non-coding RNA, 367 nt
Organism: Papaver somniferum (opium poppy)
Lineage: Eukaryota; Viridiplantae; Streptophyta; Magnoliopsida; Ranunculales; Papaveraceae
Exons: 3
Source: RefSeq, a predicted model, not a curated record
CAUGUGUUCCUGCUUUCAACAUCCUGAAAACCCCUCUCGGCAAGGAACACCAUAGAGAUGCUCUGCUAACGGCUUCAUCAAUCAAUGAUGGCACAAACUCGCCAGCAACAUCAACAAAGGAUAUAAACCAUUGAUUCAUAAUCAACAUUUCCAUCAUCACCACUGCCGAGCUUAGGAGGUGAAGACAAAACACAAUCUCUAAUAGGAAAUUCGUCAACUAGCUUCGGUUCACUAGGAUGACAAGCCAUGGUGCUGCUCUGGGUGAUGGUGGGAGCUUCCGUUCACUUCUUUGAUUUGAUAACUCUGAUUCGGCCAUGGGAACGGACGAGAUUGAACUGAAGCGGUUUAAAAUGGCUAAAAAUGGGAU